Molecule: ribosomal RNA, 2085 nt
Filed under: Eleutheria dichotoma
Lineage: Eukaryota; Metazoa; Cnidaria; Hydrozoa; Anthoathecata; Cladonematidae
Description: eukaryotic LSU rRNA
Rfam family: Eukaryotic large subunit ribosomal RNA
Source: RNAcentral
GUAACGGCGAGUGAAGCGGGAACAGCUCAAGCUUAAAAUCUCUGUUGCUUGCAACAGCGAAUUGUAGCCUCGAGAAGCGUUUUCAAGCUGGAUACUUUGAUGCCUAAGUUGCCUGGAACGGCACAUCGUAGAGGGUGACAAUCCCGUACGCGGUAUCAAGUACUAGUCACGAUGCGUUUUCCAUGAGUCGGGUUGCUUGGGAAUGCAGCCCAAAAUGGGAGGUAAACUCCUUCUAAAGCUAAAUAUUGGCACGAGACCGAUAGCGAACAAGUACCGUGAGGGAAAGAUGAAAAGCACUUUGAAAAGAAAGUUAAUAGUACGUGAAACCGUUAAAAGGGAAGCGCAUGGAAUUAGCAAUGCAUUGUAGAGAUUCAGGUUAUCAAUUGUAGUUACUUGGGUUUAGCAGAUCUGAAUGGACUGCUUGCUCAGGUCUUCUUCUUUUGGCAAUCGCACUUCUCUAUGAUGCGCGUCAACAAAUGUUGAGACUGGAUGAAAAGCUUUACGAGAAGGUAGCUGUGCUUUCGAGUGCAGUAUUAUAGCUUGUAGAUGCAAGUUCAGGCUUCACAGAGGUGUUGCGACAUAUGCUCUUUUAGGGCUGGCCUCUCUUUCUUCUUGCAGUUGUCGAACAUAAUGGACUGCGUGCAGUGCAUUUGAACUGCUGCUGCUUGUUGGAGGGAUGAGUGUACACAUUAUGUCAAAGUUGUUGGCGGUCAUAUGAUUUCAUACGACCCGUCUUGAAACACGGACCAAGGAGUCUAACAUGUGUGCGAGUCUUUGGGUGAUAGAAACCCGCAGGCAUAAUGAAAGUAAAGGCUGCUUGCAGCUGAAGUGAGAUCUGUCAUGUACGCAUGGCAGCGCAUCAUUGACCGACUUAUUCUACUCCUAGAAAGGUUUGAGUAAGAGCACAUCUGUUGGGACCCGAAAGAUGGUGAACUAUGCUUGAGUAGGGCGAAGCCAGAGGAAACUCUGGUGGAGGCUCGUAGCGAUUCUGACGUGCAAAUCGAUCGUCAAACUUGAGUAUAGGGGCGAAAGACUAAUCGAACCAUCUAGUAGCUGGUUCCCUCCGAAGUUUCCCUUAGGAUAGCUGGAACUCGGUGUUAACAGUUUUAUCAGGUAAAGCGAAUGAUUAGAGGUCUUAGGGUUGAAACAAUCUUAACCUAUUCUCAAACUUUAAAUUGGUAAGAAGCCCGACUUGCUUAAUUGAAGUAGGGCAACGAAUGAGAGUUCUUAGUGGGCCAUUUUUGGUAAGCAGAACUGGCGAUGCGGGAUGAACCGAACGCUGAGAUAAGGCGCCUAAAUCGACGCUCAUCAGACCCCACAAAAGGUGUUGGUUGAUCUAGACAGCAGGACGGUGGCCAUGGAAGUCGGAAUCCGCUAAGGAGUGUGUAACAACACACCUGCCGAAUCAACUAGCCCUGAAAAUGGAUGGCGCUCAAGCGUCGUGCCUAUACUCAGCCGUCAGAGUGAAGGCUAAAGCUCUGACGAGUAGGAGGGCGUGGGGGUCGUGACGCAGCCUUUGGCGUGAGCCUGGGUGAAACGGCCUCUAGUGCAGAUCUUGGUGGUAGUAGCAAAUAUUCAAAUGAGAACUUUGAAGACCGAAGUGGAGAAAGGUUCCAUGUGAACAGCAGUUGGACAUGGGUUAGUCGAUCCUAAGAGAUAGGGAAACUCCGUUUCAAAGUGCUCGUUUCUCGAGCCAUUUAUCGAAAGGGAAUCGGGUUAAUAUUCCCGAACCGGAACGCGGAUAUUUUGUCCUCUUCGGAGGUCGAAUUUGCGGUAACGCAACUGAACUCGGAGACGUCGGCAGAAGCCCUGGGAAGAGUUAUCUUUUCUUGUUAACGUUCAUCGAAACCAUGGAAUCUGAUUGCCAGGAGAUAUGGUCCGACGAACGGUAAAGCAUCACACUUCUUGUGGUGUCCGGUGCGCUUCUGAAGGCCCUUGAAAAUCCGAGGGAAAGAUUUAUUCUCGCUUCCGCUCGUACUCAUAACCGCAGCAGGUCUCCUAGGUGAGCAGCCUCUGGUCGAUAGAACAAUGUAGGUAAGGGAAGUCGGCAAAAUAGAUCCGUAACUUCGGGAAAAGGAUUGGCUC